Molecule: long non-coding RNA, 637 nt
Organism: Rhipicephalus sanguineus (brown dog tick)
Lineage: Eukaryota; Metazoa; Arthropoda; Arachnida; Ixodida; Ixodidae
Exons: 3
Source: RefSeq, a predicted model, not a curated record
AAAACACUUCAGAGAAAUUGAAAAAUAACUCAGAUACCAUGACAACGCGAAGGCUCUUUGUCGUCUAAUUGCUGUUUUAGGUCAAGUACUUACAUUUAUUUCGUCGUUUGCAAAAAUUUUGUCCCGGCACCAUUUUUCAGCUGUUUGCUGGAAGGAAACAGAAAGACGCCAUGGUUUGCAUUCCAUGCAUUGUCGCUCCGGUGUUACUGUUCAUCUGGUACCGGUUCAUCCAGCCCAUUGUGCUUUCAAUUUGGAACCCAUGGGCCAAAAAGGAGAUCAGCGUGAAUGCCGCAGGGGACGCCUCUGACAAAGAAAAAUCAAACAACACCGCCAAGGAGGGCGCAGCUGGUGUCGCGGAGCCAGCCCAAGUUGCCAGCAGCCCAUCUGAGCCACCUGAAGGUGCUGGAGUAUCAAAGAAAACAGAUUAACUGUUUAUGAGUCAUCAUUCUGUACAUUCCUAUCAACCAGUCAAGUGGCAAAUAUAAGAUGUUUUAAAUUGUGUUUUGUUACAUGUUUUCUUAUAUAUAUAUAUAUAUAUAUGUCACUGUUUUUCUCUGAUGACGGCACUGAGCUGACAUUACUUUCUUGUUAUGCUAUAUUUCAGUGAUCAAUAAAGUCUUCUGUAGCAUCACAAGAA